This 81-nucleotide small RNA is filed under the name Aquimarina sp. MAR_2010_214. RNAcentral's name for it is "Flavo-1 RNA". The record is from RNAcentral. Lineage: Bacteria; Pseudomonadati; Bacteroidota; Flavobacteriia; Flavobacteriales; Flavobacteriaceae.
GUUUUGCGUUAGGGAUAGUAGUGUAAAUCCCGCAGCACGCCAAUAGCGUGUGAGGAAUUGCAACGGAUAGCCCGCUCGAAC